This 254-nucleotide ribosomal RNA is filed under the name uncultured bacterium. Its description in RNAcentral is "partial 16S ribosomal RNA". It matches the Rfam family "Bacterial small subunit ribosomal RNA", at positions 524 to 776 of the family's 1533-position model. The record is from RNAcentral.
UACGGGGGGAGCAAGCGUUGUUCGGAUUUACUGGGCGUAAAGGGCGCGUAGGCGGUCAGCACAAGUCAGUUGUGAAAUCUACGGGCUUAACUCGGAAAGGUCAACUGAUACUGUGCGACUAGAGUGCAGAAGGGGCAACUGGAAUUCUCGGUGUAGCGGUGAAAUGCGUAGAUAUCGAGAGGAACACCUGCGGCGAAGGCGGGUUGCUGGGCUGACACUGACGCUGAUGCGCGAAAGCCAGGGGAGCGAACGGG